Molecule: ribosomal RNA, 1128 nt
Filed under: metagenome
Description: SSU rRNA
Rfam family: Eukaryotic small subunit ribosomal RNA
Source: RNAcentral
UGCCAGUAGUCAUAUGCUUGUCUCAAAGAUUAAGCCAUGCAUGUCUCAGUAUCAGCAUUAUCAUUGCUAAACUGCGAAUGGCUCAUUAAAACAGUUAUAGUUUACUUGGCGGUCACUCGUUAUAUGGAUAACUGUGGUAAUUCUAGAGCUAAUACAUGCGUUAAAACCCGACUUCUCGGAAGGGUUGUAUUUAUUAGAUACAGAACCAACUCACCCCGGUGAUUUUGGAUGAUUCAUGAUAAAUGAACGGAGCGUAUGGCUUGGGCCGACGCUAUGCCAUUCAAGUUUCUGACCUAUCAGCUAUCGACGGUAGGGUAUUGGCCUACCGUGGCAUUGACGGGUAACGGAGAAUUAGGGUUCGAUUCCGGAGAGGGAGCCNGAGAAACGGCUACCACAUCNAAGGAAGGCAGCAGGCNCGCAAAUUACCCAAUCCNGANNCAGGGAGGUAGUGACAAGAAAUAACAAAGCAAGCCCUUAGGGGCGCUGCGUUGGAAUGAGUAGAAUUUAAAUCUCUUUACGACUAUCGAUUGGAGGGCAAGUCUGGUGCCAGCAGCCGCGGUAAUUCCAGCUCCAAUAGCGUAUAUUAAAGUUGUUGNGGUUAAAAAGCUCGUAGUUGGAUUUCUGNUGAAGUCAGCCGGUGCACACCUCGUGUGUUAUUUGGCCUGGCUUUGGCAUCCUCUGGGGGAACGUUUCUGGACUUAAUUGGACAGGGCGAGAUUCCAGACUUUUACUUUGAGGAAAUUAGAGUGUUCACGGCAGGCAAGUGCUUUGAAUACAUUAGCAUGGAAUAAUAAUAUAGGACCUUCGUUCUAUUUUGUUGGUUUCUAGAACUUAGGUAAUGAUUAAUAGGGACAAUUGGGGGCAUUCGUAUUAACGCGUCAGAGGUGGAAUUCUUGGAUUGCGUUACGACGAACUACUGCGAAAGCAUUUGCCAAAGAUGUUUUCAUUGAUCAAGAACGAAAGUAUGGGGAUCGAAGACGCUUAGAUACCGUCGUAGUCUAUACCAUAAACUAUGCCAACUAGAGAUCGGUGGGGUUAUCCUAUGUGGCUCCAUCGGCAUCUUAUGAGAAAUCAAAGUUUUUGGGUUCCGGGGGGAGUAUGGUCGCAAGGCUGAAACUUAAAGGAAUU